This is a long non-coding RNA of Hyla sarda, 432 nucleotides long. RefSeq lists it as uncharacterized. NCBI's taxonomy places the organism in Eukaryota, Metazoa, Chordata, Amphibia, Anura, Hylidae. The transcript has 3 exons. The record is from RefSeq and is a predicted model, not a curated record.
CUCGACAUUUUCUCGAGAGAGGAGUCAUAGCUGGAAGAAAUCAUCAUGGCUUCUGAUCUGGAAAAGAAAAAGGAAAGUGAAGGACGCCAGUCAGAAAAGACAUCACCUGAUAUAACUAACAUGGCGGAGAUCUUGCGGCACAGACGUUGAGCGUACAUUUCCAAAAACACCACAGCAAACAAGAUGCAAUGGAUGACAAGAAUUGAUGCAGUGACAGAGGGAUCUGGAGGACUUGCCGACUGUUUACAGUGGUCAGGGAAGAAGAAAAUGUUCAGCUGCCGUUCUAUUUGAUAUCUCUGAAGGUGCUGGUGGAGUUUAAGACUGUUUCUGAAGAGUGUUGGGAUAUGCAUUUGAUGAUUUGGAAUAUAUUCCGGAGGUUACUAAAUAUAUUCGGAAGAACGUUAAGAGCCAUGAACAUAAAGCAGGUGGAUA